UUUCACACUGCCGAGAAAAGCCUCUAGAUAGAAAAUAGGUGCCCGUACCGCAAACCGACACAGGUAGUCAAGAUGAGAAUUCUAAGGUGAGCGAGCGAACUCUCGUUAAGGAACUCGGCAAAAUGACCCCGUAACUUCGGGAGAAGGGGUGCUCUUUAGGGUUAACGCCCAGAAGAGCCGCAGUGAAUAGGCCCAAGCGACUGUUUAUCAAAAACACAGGUCUCUGCUAAACCGUAAGGUGAUGUAUAGGGGCUGACGCCUGCCCGGUGCUGGAAGGUUAAGAGGAGUGGUUAGCUUCUGCGAAGCUACGAAUCGAAGCCCCAGUAAACGGCGGCCGUAACUAUAACGGUCCUAAGGUAGCGAAAUUCCUUGUCGGGUAAGUUCCGACCCGCACGAAAGGCGUAACGAUUUGGGCACUGUCUCAACGAGAGACUCGGUGAAAUCAUAGUACCUGUGAAGAUGCAGGUUACCCGCGACAGGACGGAAAGACCCCGUGGAGCUUUACUGUAGCCUGAUAUUGAAAUUCGGCACAGCUUGUACAGGAUAGGUAGGAGCCUUUGAAACGUGAGCGCUAGCUUACGUGGAGGCGCUGGUGGGAUACUACCCUAGCUGUGUUGGCUUUCUAACCCGCACCACUUAUCGUGGUGGGAGACAGUGUCAGGCGGGCAGUUUGACUGGGGCGGUCGCCUCCUAAAAGGUAACGGAGGCGCUCAAAGGUUCCCUCAGAAUGGUUGGAAAUCAUUCAUAGAGUGUAAAGGCAUAAGGGAGCUUGACUGCGAGACCUACAAGUCGAGCAGGGUCGAAAGACGGACUUAGUGAUCCGGUGGUUCCGCAUGGAAGGGCCAUCGCUCAACGGAUAAAAGCUACCCCGGGGAUAACAGGCUUAUCUCCCCCAAGAGUUCACAUCGACGGGGAGGUUUGGCACCUCGAUGUCGGCUCAUCGCAUCCUGGGGCUGUAGUCGGUCCCAAGGGUUGGGCUGUUCGCCCAUUAAAGCGGUACGCGAGCUGGGUUCAGAACGUCGUGAGACAGUUCGGUCCCUAUCCGUCGUGGGCGUAGGAAAUUUGAGAGGAGCUGUCCUUAGUACGAGAGGACCGGGAUGGACAUACCUCUGGUGUACCAGUUGUCGUGCCAACGGCAUAGCUGGGUAGCUAUGUGUGGACGGGAUAAGUGCUGAAAGCAUCUAAGCAUGAAGCCCCCCUCAAGAUGAGAUUUCCCAACUUCGGUUAUAAGAUCCCUCAAAGAUGAUGAGGUUAAUAGGUUCGAGGUGGAAGCAUGGUGACAUGUGGAGCUGACGAAUACUAAUCGAUCGAAGACUUAAUCAA
Molecule: ribosomal RNA, 1323 nt
Filed under: Staphylococcus aureus
Lineage: Bacteria; Bacillati; Bacillota; Bacilli; Caryophanales; Staphylococcaceae
Also listed under: 1 other name
Description: partial 23S ribosomal RNA
Rfam family: Bacterial large subunit ribosomal RNA
Source: RNAcentral